This 1506-nucleotide long non-coding RNA is filed under the name Astyanax mexicanus (Mexican tetra). RNAcentral's name for it is "lncRNA (ENSAMXG00005017630.1)". Lineage: Eukaryota; Metazoa; Chordata; Actinopteri; Characiformes; Acestrorhamphidae. The record is from RNAcentral.
GUGGGUACCAAAGAAAGGUUUACCAAAUGUACCAUCAAACCACAUGUUGUCAAUUUUUAUAUAUUUUAUCUAGUUAUAUUCUAUUUUUUCACAGUUUUUUUUAAAUAAAGUAGGUCACACCAGUGACUUUAGUUAAAAUCAUGAGCUAAAUGAGAAUAUUUUAAAUAACUGAAAAGACUUGUACUUGACAACUUUCCUAUACUUAAAGGAGAACUCCGGUGUGAAACUGACAUAUGACUGGAUGUAGUAAAACAUGAUAAUGUGUUGAAUAGCCCACCUCUGUUCUCCUGCAGCUUUCCGAGUUCCAGCAAUUUUAUUCUGUUUGUUCAAACACCCUUUAGACUGUGUGAUAUGGGACAUAUUUUGCUGCUGCAGAUAAAUCGCUUUUUACACUGUUAACGAGGCCCAAAAUAGCUCCACACCUCAUUGGUAGAAUGAGAGAGCCCUGACAUUUAAAACGAGGCAUUAAUAACAUUUUAAAGUACACAAGAAGUUUAUUAAAAACCACUGUUUACAAUCUUAACAGAAAAGUCAUGAUCAGUAGAGUGACGAACAAAAUUAGUGUGACGAGGAAAGCUGCGGGAGAACAGAGGUGGGCUAUUCAACAACGGUUAGUACUCUUUAUCAUUCUUUACUACACCAAAAGUCAAUUUCACACCACAGUUCUCAUUUAAUUUGGCCCUAUUUAUCUCAUAUUAAUCAUUUAUUUCAUAAUCAUGUGAAGAUUACUGCAGUUAAAAUAUGGAAAUCACCCUUCACAUACCAUUUUGAGGAUAAGCAUUUUUUAAAUACUUUAUUGUUUAUACUGUAUUUUUCUUCUUAUUUAUUUUUUAAUAUGUACGUGUACAGGUACAAAUAUGUAUUUAUAGACAGAACUAACAACGUUUUUUUACAGAUGACGAAGAUGAAGACUACCAUGCAGGAUCUGUCUGCAAGUUCUGUGCCCAUUGUGAGCACUGCGACAGCUGCGACAAAUGCCCAUGUAAAAAGGGAGACAAGUCAGAACACUGUGAAUUCUGUGAGAUGUGCAAUAUGUGCGCUGUCUGUCCUGUUUGUGACACCGUGUGCCAGCCAGGUGGCUUUGUAGACUCUGUGACUGGAUCCAUCUACAAGACUGUCGCAGACAUCUUUGAGGAUGAUGAUGACGACAAUUAAGCCCUCCAUCGCCACUAUGUGGCCAGUAAAAUGCUGCAGAUGGGUUUGGGGGAGGGGGGGUAUUUAAAAAAAUUGAAGGGGGUUUAAUACUGCAGUCUUUAUACUUAAUAAAUUAUUCUCCACCGUUUAUUAUUUUUUAAAUUUGACAGCACUGCACAAAUGCAUUCAAUACAUGGAACCAAACUACAAUGGAAAAACAUGGACAGAAUGACGUAAACCUAUUAAUAAACCUUCAUGUUUUUGUUUGCUGGUUUACAGUGUAACUAACAACUAAUAUGAACCAUCAUUGUAUACAUUAUUGUGUUGUUUUGACACAGCUGCUGGGUGCUAUUAAAAACAACUAUGGGGACA